Molecule: non-coding RNA, 46 nt
Filed under: Schistosoma mattheei
Lineage: Eukaryota; Metazoa; Platyhelminthes; Trematoda; Strigeidida; Schistosomatidae
Source: RNAcentral
GUACUGCUGAGGAGUCCCAUACCAGGACGAAAUCAACAUCCAGUAC